RNAcentral lists this ribosomal RNA (458 nucleotides) under uncultured bacterium. Its description in RNAcentral is "partial 16S ribosomal RNA". It matches the Rfam family "Bacterial small subunit ribosomal RNA", at positions 338 to 795 of the family's 1533-position model. The record is from RNAcentral.
CCUACGGGGUGCAGCAGUGGGGAAUAUUGCACAAUGGGGGAAACCCUGAUGCAGCGACGCCGCGUGAGUGAAGAAGUAAUUCGUUACGUAAAGCUCUAUCAGCAGGGAAGAAAUACUGACCUUACGGUCAGCAGACGGUACCUGAGUAAGAAGCCCCGGCUAACUACGUGCCAGCAGCCGCGGUAAUACGUAGGGGGCAAGCGUUAUCCGGAUUUACUGGGUGUAAAGGGAGCGUAGAAGGUGCGCCAAGUCUGGAGUGAAAUGCCGCAGCUUAACUGCGGAACUGCUUUGGAAACUGGCGAACUAGAGUGCGGGAGGGGUAAGCGGAAUUCCUAGUGUAGCGGUGAAAUGCGUAGAUAUUAGGAGGAACACCGGUGGCGAAGGUUGCUUACUGGACCGUAACUGACGUUGAGGCUCGAAAGCGUGGGGAGCAAACAGGAUUAGAUACCCCUGUAGUC